This 30-nucleotide non-coding RNA is filed under the name Mus musculus (house mouse). The record is from RNAcentral. Lineage: Eukaryota; Metazoa; Chordata; Mammalia; Rodentia; Muridae.
UGGGCUUUAAGACCCUCAUCCUAGCUGCCU